RNAcentral lists this ribosomal RNA (1229 nucleotides) under Desemzia sp. Its description in RNAcentral is "bacterial SSU rRNA". It matches the Rfam family "Bacterial small subunit ribosomal RNA", at positions 124 to 1339 of the family's 1533-position model. The record is from RNAcentral. Lineage: Bacteria; Bacillati; Bacillota; Bacilli; Lactobacillales; Carnobacteriaceae.
ACCUACCUAUAAGCGGGGGAUAACAUUCGGAAACGGAUGCUAAUACCGCAUAUAUCUUUUCGCCUCCUGGCGAUUAGAAAAAAGACGGCUUCGGCUGUCACUUAUAGAUGGACCCGCGGCGCAUUAGUUAGUUGGUGAGGUAAUGGCUCACCAAGACGAUGAUGCGUAGCCGACCUGAGAGGGUGAUCGGCCACACUGGGACUGAGACACGGCCCAGACUCCUACGGGAGGCAGCAGUAGGGAAUCUUCCGCAAUGGACGAAAGUCUGACGGAGCAACGCCGCGUGAGUGAAGAAGGUUUUCGGAUCGUAAAACUCUGUUGUUAGAGAAGAACAAGGGUGAGAGUAACUGUUCACCCCUUGACGGUAUCUAACCAGAAAGCCAUGGCUAACUACGUGCCAGCAGCCGCGGUAAUACGUAGAUGGCAAGCGUUGUCCGGAUUUAUUGGGCGUAAAGCGAGCGCAGGCGGUUCUUUAAGUCUGAUGUGAAAGCCCCUGGCUCAACCAGGGAGGGUCAUUGGAAACUGGAGAACUUGAGUGCAGAAGAGGAAAGUGGAAUUCCAUGUGUAGCGGUGAAAUGCGUAGAUAUAUGGAGGAACACCAGUGGCGAAGGCGACUUUCUGGUCUGUAACUGACGCUGAGGCUCGAAAGCAUGGGGAGCAAACAGGAUUAGAUACCCUGGUAGUCCAUGCCGUAAACGAUGAGUGCUAAGUGUUGGAGGGUUUCCGCCCUUCAGUGCUGGAGCUAACGCAUUAAGCACUCCGCCUGGGGGAGUACGACCGCAAGGUUGAAACUCAAAGGAAUUGACGGGGGCCCGCACAAGCGGUGGAGCAUGUGGUUUAAUUCGAAGCAACGCGAAGAACCUUACCAGGUCUUGACAUCCUUUGACCACUCUAGAGAUAGAGCUUUCCCUUCGGGGACAAAGUGACAGGUGGUGCAUGGUUGUCGUCAGCUCGUGUCGUGAGAUGUUGGGUUAAGUCCCGCAACGAGCGCAACCCUUAUUAUUAGUUGCCAGCAUUCAGUUGGGCACUCUAGUGAGACUGCCGGUGAUAAACCGGAGGAAGGUGGGGAUGACGUCAAAUCAUCAUGCCCCUUAUGACCUGGGCUACACACGUGCUACAAUGGAUGGUACAACGAGUCGCAAGGUCGCGAGGCCAAGCUAAUCUCUUAAAGCCAUUCUCAGUUCGGAUCGUAGGCUGCAAUUCGCCUACGUGAAGCCGGAAUCGCUAGU